Molecule: long non-coding RNA, 373 nt
Filed under: Homo sapiens (human)
Lineage: Eukaryota; Metazoa; Chordata; Mammalia; Primates; Hominidae
Description: HSALNT0040370
Source: RNAcentral
CUCCUACCUUAACAUAGCAUUUUGUCCAUCACUUCUUGUACACGAAACCUGCCGGGUUUGAUAACCUAUCUCUAUUGCCCAAGACUUCGAAUGAUGAUGUGCUUUGUAACUUUGAUGUUUAAAGGUGACUCGCUCAUUUGAAUCAGAGUUAAAAUCCAGAACAGUUCUUCCGCUUGGAUUAAUUUCUUUAAGAUGAGGCAGUCUGCAUUUACUCCAUGGUCCAACCUUAAGGCUAAAUGUAUAUUCCUCUUCCCCAAGAGGACAGGAAAUGGGAGCAUCACAGGCUCUUGACUCAGUCAGAUUUGGACAUUGCAAACCACCAAAGAGAGGGGGAGCUAUGACCGCGCGAGUUCUAUGCUGCAAUUUCUUCCCA